This is a long non-coding RNA of Trifolium pratense (red clover), 5325 nucleotides long. RefSeq lists it as uncharacterized. The transcript is spliced from 7 exons. NCBI's taxonomy places the organism in Eukaryota, Viridiplantae, Streptophyta, Magnoliopsida, Fabales, Fabaceae. The record is from RefSeq and is a predicted model, not a curated record.
CUUCGUGUUCUUGUGCGAAAGUUUGGUAAUAUGAAAAAGAAACACGAGAAUUGUGUUGCAGAGAUUUCGGAAUUGCAAAAAAAAAUUGUCUGAAAAUGAAAAGAAUUAUGUCGGAGAGAUUAAUGAAUUAAAGAAGAAGUUGUCUGAAUACGAGAAGAAAAUGGCUGAGUGGAUGACUAGUCUGGAUGAUGAGCGGAACAAACUGAAGAAAUCUUUGAAAGAAUCAAGUUUGGAGAAUAGGCAAUUGUUAGAAAGAGGAAAAGAGUUGAUGAAGGAAAAUUAUCAGAGUAUAACAAGAUUGCGGAUCAAAGAAGAGGAUCACAAGGUUACUGUUGGGAUGCUGAAAGCUGAAAUUGAAGAAUUAAAGGUUGAAAAUUCAGAGCAGUACAAAGCUGGCUUCGAUAAGGCGGUAAGCCAAUUGGUAUUUUUUGCAGAAGGACUUAAACCUUGACGAUGACGAAUGAUCUAAAACUAGUUGUGGUAAAGAAGUUUUAUAAGGAAAGCACGCCUCGCAUUAUGAGGUGAGGAUAGGGGAUAAUCCGGGCUGUCCCUGCGGUGGUACACAUGUUUUAGAUAUUUCAGACAUCACAAAAAUUAAGGUUUCUCAAAUUCUGUCGAAGAAGUGAAUGACAAAAGUAUUUUACAUUGUUGAAACUUAGUUAAAUGGACGAGUCUGCUGUCAAGUAACUGUUGUUUCAGAUCCAUGGCAGUGACUACUCUUGGAUAAGCUAAAUUUGAAUCAUAUUAGUCACUUAUGAACAGUAGCUUCUAUAUCUAGUCAUACUCAAGCUUUGUAAGGUUUGAUGAGUUUGAAAAGAACAAUUUUGCAAUAGCUUCAGUGUGUGAUAUAAUAGUGACACACAUAAAUACACACAUAGAUAUUCUUUACAUGUUGAGUCUCGUUGUCACAUUAUUAUACUCCUUAAUCCUCAUUCCAAAUCAUGGUUUCUCCUUUGGAUUUGGAAUCAAACUCAAUAACUACCCUUUCCUUUUGCUUCAAACUAGGAAAUAAUAUUUUUGUGCUAUCAAAAUAAGUAAUGAAAAAGAAAGAAUAAAGAUGAGGUAACAUUAUUAGCAAAAAAUUGGUAAAAUAGAAAGAAACAGAUAAUAACCAAAAAUGGAUUGAUUUAAAUGGUGUAACUAUGUUCGAUCACGGACUCUUACGAAGAAAAACAAUAUAACAAGAGAGGAUAUAGAAACAACACAAGAGAAGAAGUGGACGGUGAGGUAGAAAAGAGAAAAAGAUUUAGUCGAUGGAGUUCGAUCCAAUCCCAAUCGGUUCAUGCUCCAAAGAACAUCAGAACAUUUACCAGCAAUGGUUCAAUUGCGCUGAUUCUGAUGGUGAUGGACGUAUAACGGGGAAUGAUGCCACCAAGUUUUUCGCCAUGUCUAAUUUGUCUUGUCAAGAUCUUAAACAGGGUUUCCACAGGUGCCACUUUCCUCUGUGACGUCGAUAAUUGAUGGCUUGAAGAGACUCUACAUCCAGAAGUUGAAGCCUUUAGAAGUUACGUACCAUUUUAAUGAUUUUGUCUCCCCAUUAUUGACAAAUAGUGAUUUUGAUGCCAAUCCUUUGGUUAUGCUUUUGGGACAAUACUCAACUGGCCAUGGUAAAAGUAAAACAACAUUUAUCAAACAUCUGCUUAAAUGUGGUUAUCCAGGCAAGUACUUCUGCUUUCUCUAUAUCCAUAUCGGUGUCACUUCUUUCGCAAUUCAUGCUUUUCUGUUUUUAUGACCAGAUAUUUUUUUCUUGAUUUCCAGUGUGGCACUUCCCAUAACCGUAAAUAUUAGGUGCACAUAUUGGACCUGAACCUACAACUGAUAGGUUUGUUUGUUGUUGUCAUAGUAUGUGCCAGACAACUAGAGUCCCUCCCAAAACACUCUUAAUACCUUAAGAUUUUCUUAGUUUUCAAAUUAUUAUUGCAUCAGUGCCUAGUUUUGACAAUUUGAAUUAUGAGGAGUUCUAGCAACACACACUAACACACUUUUCAACACUCUAUCAUUUAAAAUUCAUAUGGGUCCGACCAAAUCACGUGGGUCGCAUAUAAUUUUGGUGGGGGACCCAUAUGAAUUUUAACCAAUAAAAUAGUGUAUUAAAGAUUGUGUUCUUUGCAUAAAAAAAAAAAUUGUGUUCUUAGCAUUAUUCUUUGAAUUAUUGUAAUAUAUCUUCAAGUCAUCUUGGAAAAUGAAUUAUUGCAUUAGUUUUGACUAGCGAAUUGUGUUGGUGUACAGUCUGGAACUGAUGAGAGAAGCAUCCCUGGAAAUACUGGUGCUGUCCAAGCAGACAUGCCGUUUAAUGGACUUAAAACUUUUGGCACAGCUUUCUUGUCAAAAUUUGAGUGUUCACAAAUGCCUCAUCCUCUACUGGAGCACAUUACAUUUGUGGAAAGUCCUGGAGUUCUAUCCGGAGAAAAGCAACGGACAAAACGAGCAUAUGAUUUUACGGGUGUAACAAUCUUGGUUUGCUGCUAAGUGUGCUUUCAUACUCCUCUUGUUUGAUCCUCACAAACUUGAUAUUAGUGACGAGUUCAACCAUGUGAUAUCAUCUUUGCGGGGGCGUGGUGACAAAUGACAAAAUUUGAGUAGUUUUGAACAAGGGAGAUCAAAUUGAUACUCAGCAAGUAAGCGCUUGUGUAGUUAAACUUCUGUUUGUUUAUAUAAUAAUGAAUCUUUUAGUACAUGCAUCGGGAAUACUGACGUCAAUUUGGCUCUAUGUUACAUCUGAUGAGGGUUUAUGGAGCCUUAAUUUUGUCGCUCGGGAAGGUGCUGAACACACCUGAAGUCACUCGUGAGUAUAUUGGGUAUGUCGCUGUAUAUGCAUGUCAGUGUUAAAAUGUUCUCUUUGACAUGGAAAGUUGGAAAGAUCUCAAUGUGUUUCUGCAAUCACUAGUUAUUUUAAGUUUAUCUUUAUUUAGUAUCAUGAAGUUGCACAAAUGUUAUUUUUAUGGUGGAAUUGUGGCAGAUGUAUUUUGUGUCACUUGUGGUCCAAUCGGAAAGGAACUGUUUGAAAAAGAACAGGAAGUCCUUCUUUCAGAUCAAAGAGUGAGUUUAUUUAUUUAAUUUUAUGAAGAUUGAUAUGAUUAAAUUACUAGGAAGUCAACCUUUUGAUUUUCCUUUCAUUUGGGGAUUAUAUAUUUCAGAAACAUUUGAUAGAUAUGCUAGUGCUUCAGGUAAAGUUAUUAACCCUUCAAAGUCUACCAUUUUUUCUGUUUCCAUGAAUAGCACUAGACUUCAGAACAUUGCUAAUAGGAUAGGUUUUAACAUUGGUGUUACUCCUUUUUUUAUCUGGCAAUGCCUAUUUUUAGAGGUAAGCCUUAAGCAUCUCACCUGAGGCCUAUUGCUGAUAAAGUCAAGAUUAAGCUCUCUGCUUGGAAGGCCUCUCUUUUGUCUCUAGCUGGUAGAGUGCAGUUGAUUAAAAGUGUUAUCCAUGGUAUGUUAAUGCACACUUUCCUGAUAUACUCUUGGCUGGUCAGUUUAAUUAAAGAGAUUGAAUUGUAGAUGAGGAAUUUUAUUUGGAGUGGAGAGAUUUCUAAAAGAAAGUUAGUGACAAUUUCUUGGGCGAAAGUUUGUAAACCUUAUAAUGGGGGUGGCCUUGGGAUUAGAAAUUUGUCAAAAUAGAAUGAAGCUUCUAAUUUAAAACUGUGUUGGGAUUUAUUGCAUUCAAAGGAGCAGUAGAGUAAUCUUUUAAGCAGUAGAAUGCUGAGACAAAAUCGAACUAUUAAUCAUCAUAUUUAUUCCUCAAAUAUGGAGUGGUAUUAAGAUCAAAUAUGCAGAGAUUGUCGAUCAUUUAUCUCGGUUUCUUGGGGAUGGUAGGAACAUCAAUUUUUGGUUAGAUAACUGGUGUGGUUCCCCUCUGGUGCAUAUGCUAAAUUUACUUCAUAACUCAAAGCUUCAGCUCAUUUCUAAGGUGGAAAGCUUCAUACAUGAGGGUCAGUGGCUGGUGCCUUUAUUCUUGCAAAAUACUACUCUGCCUAAUCUCAUGCAUUGUAUUUCUGAAAUUUCCAUUACUCUUGAACCAAAAGAAGAUGAAUUAGUUUGGAAUCACUCUCGAACUGGCUCUCUCUCCCUCUCUUAAGGAAGCUUAUAUUUAUUAUUGUCCUGAGAAUCAACAUGUUAAUUGGUAUAAGUUUCUUUUGAAUCCUUCUAUCCCUCCUUCUAGAUCCUCUCUAGUUUGGAGGCUUAUGCAUAAUAAAGUUCCAACUGAUGAGAUUCUAAUGAAUAGAGGUUGGCAUAUCCCUUCCAUAUGCAAAUUGUGUCUUAACUGUUCAGAGUCUUCUCAGCAUGUAUUCUUUCAUUGUAGCUUUGCUCACAGCUUAUGGGAUUGGUUCUUAAAUAUGUUAAACAUCAACUUGCAAGUCAUCAACUCAGAAACAAUGUGGAAUAUCUGUGAGAGUGGUUGGGGUCCCCAAUGUAAACUGGUUAUAUCAGCUGCUUCGAUCAACAUUAUUAAUUCUAUAUGGUACAACAGAAAUCAAGCGAGUUUCAAUAAUGUAAAACCUUGUUUAAGAUCUGCUAAAGCCUUCAUUAUGUCCAACACAGUCAUAUCUGGAAAUGCAACUAAGGCUACAUCUACCAACUCCAUGUCAGAUUUCUUAGUUAUUAAAGCUUUUAAUGUCAAAAUCAACUCUCCCAAAGCCCCUUCUAUCAAAGAGAUAUUCUGGAUGCCUCCUAAAUCUUUGGAUAAAAUGCAACACGGACGGGGCAGCAAUAGGUAGUCCAGGUCAAGCAUCUUGUGCAGGUGUUUUCAGAAAUCACCAUGCUAGUUUUUUUGGUUGUUUUCAGAAAUCAGAAUCAUGCAAAUAUUGGUAUAGACACUGCCUUCCAUGCAGACCUCCUUGGUGUCAUGUUUGCUAUUGAGAUUGCUCAUAAUAGAGGAUGGCGACUUCUUUGGUUGGAGACUGAUUCAUUGUUAGUUACUCUUGCAUGCAAAACUCCUUCUAUGGUGCCCUGGAAAUUAAGGAACAGAUGGAAUAAUUGCAUGGUUCUUUGAAGGAUAUGCAAUUUAUUUUAUCUCAUAUAUAUAGAGGGGAUUAGCUUAGAUGACAAGUUAGCUUCUAUAGGUCUCACUUCAUCUGGUUUUACUUGGUAUAAUGUAAUUCCUAGGACAGUUUUGAAUGUGUAUAACCAUAAUAGCUUGGGCCUUCCUUCCUAUAGGUUCUCUUCUUGAAAGGUUUGGUUCUGCCCCCCCUUCCUUUUUUUGUAAUCUUUUUCUUCUUUUUAUCAAUAUACACUGCUUUGGCACACCUAAUCUUAUAUCUCAAGGGAGAAAUCUGAUAUGUAUACUUUUGCUGAAUGUCAUAAUCCAGUUAGUUAUUGUUUUUAUGUUAU